Molecule: long non-coding RNA, 877 nt
Organism: Heterocephalus glaber (naked mole-rat)
Lineage: Eukaryota; Metazoa; Chordata; Mammalia; Rodentia; Bathyergidae
Source: RefSeq, a predicted model, not a curated record
CAUUUUUUUCCUGCAGUUAAUGUGCUUGUGGAGUUGUUCUUUUGAAGGGAUGCCGGUUCUCCUUCUCAAUGCAGGAAUGAUCAUUUAUAGGUAAGGAGUAAAAAUGUGAAGACUUCUGCAAAUAUGAGGCUGGGUCAAACUGGUACCCCACCACCACCAUUCUCCCUACCUACCCAUCCAGAUCUAGGAACUUUAGAGGUUCUCUUUUCCUGCUGGAAUAUUGGAAACACAUCUACAAAGUACUACAUGAGUAGAAUGUUGGAAUUCUUAAAGAAAAGCGCUCACCACCUGAAAGGGAUAUAAGGUGACCAAGGGUCAAACUUCAGUGACCUUCAGAGGCCACCCUGCCAAUGAAGGAACCCGCUGUGUUACUGCAACCUAAUGCCAGUAUGGACUCAUGCAGCAAAAUGACAAAAAUCACUGAAGGGGAAACGGGCAUCUCAGCAAGUGAAAGAUAUAUUGGCUGGUCCUCUAUUAUCACCCCUCAUUUGUUUUUUGCUUAGUAGAAGAUUUCCUGAUUUGAAGAGACAGGUUUAUUUUGGAGACUGUGAAACACAAAUGCACAAAACAAAAGGCAUAUCUGGCAGCCUAAGAAGCAGUUUGCAGUUAAAAACACAAUGAUAUAGACCAAAUUUAUCUCUCAUUCCCUGAACCAGCAGCAGAAGCAGCCAGUGCACAUGUCUGGCAAGAUCUAAGGGAAGAAAAUCUGAACCAGAAAGAAUGUGGCUGGCUUGAGGUCUGACGCAAAAGAAAAAACUUAUAAAUUUCCUCAUAGAACUCAUAUUAAAAUGGGAGUUUGGAUUCAAGCAACUAAACACUGAAAUUAAAAUUCUUAUAUGGGGUAUUUGUAGUUUCCAAUUAUAUCUUUAUGAUAUUU